CGGAGUGGACGAACCUCUGGUGUACCGGUUGUCACGCCAGUGGCAUCGCCGGGUAGCUAUGUUCGGAAGAGAUAACCGCUGAAAGCAUCUAAGCGGGAAACUCGCCUUAAGAUGAGAUAUCCCUGGGGACUAGAUCCCCUUGAAGGGUCGUUCGAGACCAGGACGUUGAUAGGUCAGGUGUGUAAGCGCAGUAAUGCGUUCAGCUAACUGAUACUAAUUGCCCGUAAGGCUUGAUCCU
This 238-nucleotide ribosomal RNA is filed under the name Burkholderia seminalis. Its description in RNAcentral is "partial 23S ribosomal RNA". It matches the Rfam family "Bacterial large subunit ribosomal RNA", at positions 2693 to 2925 of the family's 2925-position model. Lineage: Bacteria; Pseudomonadati; Pseudomonadota; Betaproteobacteria; Burkholderiales; Burkholderiaceae. The record is from RNAcentral.